RNAcentral lists this ribosomal RNA (652 nucleotides) under uncultured prokaryote. RNAcentral describes it as "bacterial SSU rRNA". It matches the Rfam family "Bacterial small subunit ribosomal RNA", at positions 524 to 1189 of the family's 1533-position model. The record is from RNAcentral.
UACAUAGGGGGCAAGCGUUAUCCGGAAUUAUUGGGCGUAAAGGGUGCGUAGGCGGUCAUUUAAGUCUUUGGUGUAAGUGCAAGGCUCAACCUUGUGAUGCUAAGGAAACUGAUGACUUGAGUGUGAUAGAGGUAAGUGGAAUUCCAUGUGUAGCGGUAAAAUGCGUAAAUAUAUGGAGGAACACCAGUGGCGAAGGCGGCUUACUGGGUCACAACUGACGCUGAGGCACGAGAAGCGUGGGGAGCAAACAGGAUUAGAUACCCUGGUAGUCCACGCCGUAAACGAUGAGUACUAAGUGUUGGAGAGAUUCAGUGCUGUAGUUAACGCAAUAAGUACUCCGCCUGAGUAGUACGUACGCAAGUAUGAAACUCAAAGGAAUUGACGGGACCCCGCACAAGCGGUGGAUCAUGUUGUUUAAUUCGAUGAUACGCGAAAAACCUUACCAGGUCUUGACAUCCCAUGCAAAGCUUAAGAGAUUAAGUGGAGGUUACCAUGGAGACAGGUGGUGCAUGGUUGUCGUCAGCUCGUGUCGUGAGAUGUUGGGUUAAGUCCCGCAACGAGCGCAACCCUUAUUGCUAGUUACCAUCAUUAACUUGGGGACUCUAGCGGGACUGCCAGUGAUAAACUGGAGGAAGGUGGGGAUGACGUCAAA